CCGGCGCACGGGUGAGUAACGCGUAUGCAACCUGUCCGUUACAGGGGGAUAGCCCAUGGAAACGUGGAUUAACACUCCAUAAUAUAAUAUAGAGGCAUCUUUGUAUUAUUAAAUAUUCAUAGGUAACGGUUGGGCAUGCGUCCUAUUAGAUAGUUGGGGGGGUAACGGCCCACCAAGUCGAUGAUAGGUAGGGGUUCUGAGAGGAAGGUCCCCCACACUGGUACUGAGACACGGACCAGACUCCUACGGGAGGCAGCAGUGAGGAAUAUUGGUCAAUGGGCGAGAGCCUGAAUCAGCCAAGUCGCGUGAGGGAUGACUGCCCUAUGGGUUGUAAACCUCUUUUGUAUGGGGGGAAUAAGCUUUACGAGUAGAGUGAUGACAGUACCAUACGAAUAAGCAUCGGCUAACUCCGUGCCAGCAGCCGCGGUAAUACGGAGGAUGCGAGCGUUAUCCGGAUUUAUUGGGUUUAAAGGGUGCGUAGGCGGCAUUAUAAGUUAGUGGUAAAAUAUUGGGGCUUCACCUCACUACGCCAUUAAUACUGUAGAGCUAGAGAACAGACGAGGUAGGCGGAAUAAGUUAAGUAGCGGUGAAAUGCAUAGAUAUAACUUAGAACACCGAUAGCGAAGGCAGCUUACCAGACUGAGUCUGACGCUGAUGCACGAGAGCAUGGGUAGCGAACAGGAUUAGAUACCCUGGUAGU
Molecule: ribosomal RNA, 700 nt
Filed under: uncultured bacterium
Lineage: Bacteria
Description: bacterial SSU rRNA
Rfam family: Bacterial small subunit ribosomal RNA
Source: RNAcentral